UACGGAGGGUGCAAGCGUUAUCCGGAUUCACUGGGUUUAAAGGGUGUGUAGGCGGGCUGUUAAGUCAGGGGUGAAAUCUCCGGGCUCAACCCGGAAACUGCCAUUGAUACUAUCAGUCUUGAAUCUUGUUGAGGUAGGCGGAAUAUAUCAUGUAGCGGUGAAAUGCUUAGAUAUGAUAUAGAACACCGAUUGCGAAGGCAGCUUACUAAACAAGCAUUGACGCUGAGGCACGAAAGCGUGGGGAUCAAACAGG
RNAcentral lists this ribosomal RNA (253 nucleotides) under uncultured bacterium. RNAcentral describes it as "partial 16S ribosomal RNA". It matches the Rfam family "Bacterial small subunit ribosomal RNA", at positions 524 to 776 of the family's 1533-position model. The record is from RNAcentral.